CGGGGUAUAGCGCAGUCUGGUAGCGCGUGCGUCUGGGGGACGUGAGGUCACAAGUUCGAAUCUUGUUAUCCCGACCA
RNAcentral lists this transfer RNA (77 nucleotides) under Thalassotalea sp. HSM 43. RNAcentral describes it as "tRNA-Pro". It matches the Rfam family "tRNA". From Rfam's summary of the family: Transfer RNA (tRNA) molecules are approximately 80 nucleotides in length. Their secondary structure includes four short double-helical elements and three loops (D, anti-codon, and T loops). RNAcentral also lists the same sequence under 1 other name. The record is from RNAcentral. Lineage: Bacteria; Pseudomonadati; Pseudomonadota; Gammaproteobacteria; Alteromonadales; Colwelliaceae.